RNAcentral lists this long non-coding RNA (275 nucleotides) under Phoenix dactylifera (date palm). RNAcentral describes it as "long non-coding RNA (PDAC_LNC010083)". The record is from RNAcentral. Lineage: Eukaryota; Viridiplantae; Streptophyta; Magnoliopsida; Arecales; Arecaceae.
AACCAUUUCGGUACGUUAGUACCGGUAGAAAGAGUACCAUGUUUUGCCUGUACUUCAAACAGUUUAGCUUUAACCAUGUUAAUGGUCUCACAUUAUUGGUUGAUAGAGAAUCCAAUUUACCAGUAAGUCACGAAAUGCUAUGGUUCUUACAUAUGAUUUCUUUCUAAUUAAGCUUGAAUUUCAAAUUUAAUCACCAUAAAAUCACCACGUGACCCUCUAAUCUGAUUGGGGGCAUGGGAAUUUCGAAAUUGAUAGAGGGAAGUGGCAACAUGAUG